This 401-nucleotide ribosomal RNA is filed under the name uncultured bacterium. Its description in RNAcentral is "bacterial SSU rRNA". It matches the Rfam family "Bacterial small subunit ribosomal RNA", at positions 28 to 424 of the family's 1533-position model. The record is from RNAcentral.
GAUGAACGCUAGCGGCAGGCUUAAUACAUGCAAGUCGAGGGGCAGCAGGGGUAGCAAUACCCGCUGGCGACCGGCAAACGGGUGCGGAACACGUACGCAACUUUCCCAAAACUGGUGAAUAGCCCUCCGAAAGGAGGAUUAAUACGCCGUAACAUAAUGAAGUGGCAUCACUUUAUUAUUAUAGCUCCGGCGGUUUUGGAUGGGCGUGCGCCUGAUUAGGUAGUUGGUAGGGUAACGGCCUACCAAGCCAACGAUCAGUAACUGGUGUGAGAGCACGACCAGUCACACGGGCACUGAGACACGGGCCCGACUCCUACGGGAGGCAGCAGUAAGGAAUAUUGGUCAAUGGGACGCAAGUCUGAACCAGCCAUGCCGCGUGAAGGAUGAAGGCCCUCUGGGUU